AGUAAAAGUCGUAACAAGGUCUCCGUUGGUGAACCAGCGGAGGGAUCAUUAUAGAGUUUUCAAAACUCCCAAACCCAUGUGAACUUACCAUUGUUGCCUCGGCGGGACCUACCCUGUACCUACCCUGGAGCGGCCUACCCUGUAGCGCUUACCCUGGAGCGGGUUUACCCGGUACCGUGUCGCCGGUGGAUUUUUAAACUAUGUUAUUUUAGUGGAAUCUGAGCGUCUUAUUAUUAAAUAAGUCAAAACUUUCAACAACGGAUCUCUUGGUUCUGGCAUCGAUGAAGAACGCAGCGAAAUGCGAUAAGUAAUGUGAAUUGCAGAAUUCAGUGAAUCAUCGAAUCUUUGAACGCACAUUGCGCCCAUUAGUAUUCUAGUGGGCAUGCCUGUUCGAGCGUCAUUUCAACCCUUAAGCCUAGCUUAGUGUUGGGAAUCUACUGUUCGAGUGUGUCUACCCUGUAGCCCACCCUGUAGUUCCUGAAAAUCAACGGCGGAUCUAUGGUGUCCUCUGAGCGUAGUAAAUCUAUCUCGCUUUUGUUAGGUUCCAUAGCUCUAGCCGCUAAACCCCCUAUUUUUAAAUGGUUGACCUCGGAUCAGGUAGGAAUACCCGCUGAACUUAAGCAUAUCAAUAAGCGGAGGAAAAGAAACCAACAGGGAUUGCCUCAGUAACG
RNAcentral lists this ribosomal RNA (671 nucleotides) under uncultured fungus. Its description in RNAcentral is "eukaryotic LSU rRNA". The stretch from base 247 to 400 matches the Rfam family "5.8S ribosomal RNA". Lineage: Eukaryota; Fungi. The record is from RNAcentral.